ACAUGCCUACAACAUAGCGUUAAUGCAUCAUAUCCAAUUACAACUUUGUAGUUAAGCGUGCUUGGGCUAGAGUAGUACUGGGAUGGGUAACUUCCCGGGAAGUACUAGUAUUUUACAUGCC
Molecule: non-coding RNA, 121 nt
Organism: Picea glauca (white spruce)
Lineage: Eukaryota; Viridiplantae; Streptophyta; Pinopsida; Pinales; Pinaceae
Source: Rfam